Long non-coding RNA from Neomonachus schauinslandi (Hawaiian monk seal), 112 nucleotides. RefSeq lists it as uncharacterized. NCBI's taxonomy places the organism in Eukaryota, Metazoa, Chordata, Mammalia, Carnivora, Phocidae. The transcript is spliced from 3 exons. The record is from RefSeq and is a predicted model, not a curated record.
GUCACGUGAAGAAGCUGAUGGCUUCAGGUCAACCUGCAACUAGUUGUCAAUCGCCUAAAACUCCUGGAAAAAAGGAAAACCGAGCAGGCUCAGAAAGCAAGGAAAGAGAUUG